GUUUCCGUAGUGUAGUGGUUAUCUCGUUCGCCUCACACGCGAAAGGCCCCGGUUCGAACCCGGGCGAAAACA
This 72-nucleotide transfer RNA is filed under the name Saccoglossus kowalevskii. Its description in RNAcentral is "tRNA-Val". It matches the Rfam family "tRNA". Rfam says of the family: Transfer RNA (tRNA) molecules are approximately 80 nucleotides in length. Their secondary structure includes four short double-helical elements and three loops (D, anti-codon, and T loops). Lineage: Eukaryota; Metazoa; Hemichordata; Enteropneusta; Harrimaniidae. The record is from RNAcentral.